Molecule: ribosomal RNA, 253 nt
Filed under: uncultured bacterium
Lineage: Bacteria
Description: partial 16S ribosomal RNA
Rfam family: Bacterial small subunit ribosomal RNA
Source: RNAcentral
UACGUAGGGGGCUAGCGUUGUCCGGAAUCAUUGGGCGUAAAGAGCGUGUAGGCGGUCCGGUAAGUCGGCUGUGAAAGUCCAGGGCUCAACCCUGGGAUGCCGGUCGAUACUGCCGGACUUGAGUACGGAAGAGGCGAGUGGAAUUCCUGGUGUAGCGGUGAAAUGCGCAGAUAUCAGGAGGAACACCAAUUGCGAAGGCAGCUCGCUGGGACGUUACUGACGCUGAGACGCGAAAGCGUGGGGAGCAAACAGG